UGUGCCUACGGGGGGCAGCAGUGGGGGAUAUUGCACAAUGGGGGAAACCCUGAUGCAGCGACGCCGCGUGGGCGAAGAAGUAUUUCGGUAUGUAAAGCCCUAUCAGCAGGGAAGAAGAAAUGACGGUACCUGAGUAAGAAGCACCGGCUAAAUACGUGCCAGCAGUCGCGGUAAUACGUAUGGUGCAAGCGUUAUCCGGAUUUACUGGGUCUAAAGGGAGCGCAGGCGGCACGGCAAGCCUGAUGUGAAAGCCCGCGGCCCCACCGCGGGACUGCAUUGGGCACUACCGGGCUGGCGUGCCGGCG
Molecule: ribosomal RNA, 305 nt
Filed under: uncultured bacterium
Lineage: Bacteria
Description: bacterial SSU rRNA
Rfam family: Bacterial small subunit ribosomal RNA
Source: RNAcentral